Molecule: ribosomal RNA, 253 nt
Filed under: uncultured bacterium
Lineage: Bacteria
Description: partial 16S ribosomal RNA
Rfam family: Bacterial small subunit ribosomal RNA
Source: RNAcentral
UACGUAGGAGGCGAGCGUUGUCCGGAUUUACUGGGCGUAAAGCGCGCGCAGGCGGCACUUCAAGUAAGGUGUGAAAUCUCCCUGCUCAACGGGGAGGGUGCACUUUAGACUGGGGAGCUAGAGGACGGUAGAGGGGGGUGGAAUUGCUGGUGUAGCGGUGAAAUGCGUAGAGAUCAGGAGGAAUACCGAUGGCGAAGGCAGUGCUCUGGGCUAACACUGACGCUGAGGUGCGAAAGCGUGGGGAGCGAACGGG